UACGAAGGGGGCUAGCGUUGCUCGGAAUCACUGGGCGUAAAGCGCACGUAGGCGGAUUGUUAAGUCAGGGGUGAAAUCCUGGAGCUCAACUCCAGAACUGCCUUUGAUACUGGCGAUCUUGAGUCCGGGAGAGGUGAGUGGAACUGCGAGUGUAGAGGUGAAAUUCGUAGAUAUUCGCAAGAACACCAGUGGCGAAGGCGGCUCACUGGCCCGGUACUGACGCUGAGAAGCGAAAGCAUGGGGAGCGAACAGG
RNAcentral lists this ribosomal RNA (253 nucleotides) under uncultured bacterium. Its description in RNAcentral is "partial 16S ribosomal RNA". It matches the Rfam family "Bacterial small subunit ribosomal RNA", at positions 524 to 776 of the family's 1533-position model. The record is from RNAcentral.